CACAGUGAAAUCUCAGUUAAACUGAAGUGUUAUUGAUGUUACAGAGCUGUCUGUCAACGUCUGUUAUAAAAGUUGUCAUCACUACCGCAUUGCAUUGUGGGAUAUUUAUGCCACCGUAGCGUCCAGCAUUGCAUACAGUAAUAUGUCAACAGAAAUAGUAUGCAAGUCACAUACUACUGGUUUCAUACUAAGGUUUCAGACAUGCUAAAAAAUCUCACAUACUGUUUUAGCAUACUAAAUAGCAUGUUAGUGUGGAAUUUUGGAAGCAACCUGGCCGUAGUUCCCCUUUAAGCACUAUUCAACAAGAAUUACGACA
Sebastes umbrosus (honeycomb rockfish) is the source of this 316-nucleotide long non-coding RNA. RefSeq lists it as uncharacterized. The transcript is spliced from 3 exons. Lineage: Eukaryota; Metazoa; Chordata; Actinopteri; Perciformes; Sebastidae. The record is from RefSeq and is a predicted model, not a curated record.